AACCAAUGAUGAUACUAGAUUCUGCCAAAUGACUGCUCAUGAUAUUAACAUCAUUCCGUUCCAUUUACUGAGGUU
Molecule: small nucleolar RNA, 75 nt
Organism: Rhineura floridana
Lineage: Eukaryota; Metazoa; Chordata; Lepidosauria; Squamata; Rhineuridae
Product: small nucleolar RNA SNORD47
Exons: 1
Source: RefSeq, a predicted model, not a curated record